Molecule: transfer RNA, 70 nt
Filed under: Ophisaurus attenuatus
Lineage: Eukaryota; Metazoa; Chordata; Lepidosauria; Squamata; Anguidae
Description: tRNA-His
Rfam family: tRNA
About the family: Transfer RNA (tRNA) molecules are approximately 80 nucleotides in length.
Source: RNAcentral
GUAAAUAUAGUUUAAAACAAAACAUUAGUCUGUGGAUCUAAAAAUAGAAGCUAAGAACUUCUUAUGUACC